RNAcentral lists this transfer RNA (75 nucleotides) under Candidatus Sneabacter namystus. Its description in RNAcentral is "tRNA-Val". It matches the Rfam family "tRNA". Rfam says of the family: Transfer RNA (tRNA) molecules are approximately 80 nucleotides in length. Their secondary structure includes four short double-helical elements and three loops (D, anti-codon, and T loops). Lineage: Bacteria; Pseudomonadati; Pseudomonadota; Alphaproteobacteria; Rickettsiales; Rickettsiaceae. The record is from RNAcentral.
GGGCAGUUAGCUCAGUGGUAGAGCACUACGUUGACAUCGUAGGGGUCAGUGGUUCGAUGCCACUACUGCCCACCA